ACCCAGACUCCUACGGGAGGCAGCAGUGGGGAAUAUUGCACAAUGGGGGAAACCCUGAUGCAGCGACGCCGCGUGAGCGAUGAAGUAUUUCGGUAUGUAAAGCUCUAUCAGCAGGGAAGAAGAUGACGGUACCUGACUAAGAAGCCCCGGCUAACUACGUGCCAGCAGCCGCGGUAAUACGUAGGGGGCAAGCGUUAUCCGGAUUUACUGGGUGUAAAGGGAGCGUAGACGGCGAUGCAAGCCAGAUGUGAAAGCCCGGGGCUCAACCCCGGGACUGCAUUUGGAACUGUGUGGCUGGAGUGUCGGAGAGGCAGGCGGAAUUCCUAGUGUAGCGGUGAAAUGCGUAGAUAUUAGGAGGAACACCAGUGGCGAAGGCGGCCUGCUGGACGAUGACUGACGUUGAGGCUCGAAAGCGUGGGGAGCAAACAGGAUUAGAUACCCUAGUAGC
This 448-nucleotide ribosomal RNA is filed under the name uncultured bacterium. RNAcentral describes it as "bacterial SSU rRNA". It matches the Rfam family "Bacterial small subunit ribosomal RNA", at positions 329 to 794 of the family's 1533-position model. The record is from RNAcentral.